UAACUUUAGCAGCACAUAUUCUAAAAUUGGAAUGAUACAGAGAAGAUGAGCACAGCCCCACGAUGACACACAAAUUCAUGAAAUGCUCCGUAUUUUU
RNAcentral lists this small nuclear RNA (97 nucleotides) under Neogale vison (American mink). The record is from RNAcentral. Lineage: Eukaryota; Metazoa; Chordata; Mammalia; Carnivora; Mustelidae.